ACUGCUCAGUAACACGUGGACAACCUGCCCUUAGGUUGGGUAUAAACCCGGGAAACUGGGUAUAAUACCCGAUAGGUCUCGAUUGCUGGAAUGCAUCGAGAUUUAAAGCUCCGGCGCCUAAGGAUGGGUCUGCGGCCUAUCAGGUAGUAGUGGGUGUAGCGUACCUACUAGCCUACGACGGGUACGGGUUGUGAGAGCAAGAGCCCGGAGAUGGAUUCUGAGACACGAAUCCAGGCCCUACGGGGUGCAGCAGGCGCGAAAACUUUACAUGCUGGCAACAGCGAUAAGGGAACCUCGAGUGCCAGGUUACAAAUCUGGCUGUCGAGAUGCCUAAAAAGCAUUUCAUAGCAAGGGCCGGGCAAGACCGGUGCCAGCCGCCGCGGUAACACCGGCGGCUCGAGUGGUAACCGUUAUUAUUGGGUCUAAAGGGUCUGUAGCCGGCCGGAUAAGUCUCUUGAGAAAUCUGGCAGCUUAACUGUCAGGCUUUCAGGAGAUACUGUCUGGCUCGAGGCCGGGAGAGGUGAGAGGUACUUCAGGGGUAGGGGUGAAAUCUUGUAAUCCUUGAAGGACCACCAGUGGCGAAGGCGUCUCACCAGAACGGACCUGACGGCAAGGGACGAAAGCUAGGGGCACGAACCGGAUUAGAUACCCGGGUAGUCCUAGCCGUAAACGAUACUCGCUAGGUGUCGGCCACGGUGCGACCGUUGUCGGUGCCGUAGGGAAGCCGUGAAGCGAGCCACCUGGGAAGUACGGCCGCAAGGCUGAAACUUAAAGGAAUUGGCGGGGGAGCAC
RNAcentral lists this ribosomal RNA (792 nucleotides) under uncultured archaeon. RNAcentral describes it as "bacterial SSU rRNA". It matches the Rfam family "Archaeal small subunit ribosomal RNA", at positions 85 to 879 of the family's 1478-position model. The record is from RNAcentral.